This 301-nucleotide ribosomal RNA is filed under the name uncultured bacterium. Its description in RNAcentral is "partial 16S ribosomal RNA". It matches the Rfam family "Bacterial small subunit ribosomal RNA", at positions 509 to 807 of the family's 1533-position model. The record is from RNAcentral.
CAGCAGCCGCGGGAAUACGUAGGUGGCAAGCGUUGUCCGGAUUUAUUGGGCGUAAAGCGAGCGCAGGCGGUCAAUUAAGUCUGAUGUGAAAGCCCCCGGCUCAACCGGGGAGGGUCAUUGGAAACUGGUUGACUUGAGUGCAGAAGAGGAGAGUGGAAUUCCAUGUGUAGCGGUGAAAUGCGUAGAUAUAUGGAGGAACACCAGUGGCGAAGGCGACUCUCUGGCCUGUAACUGACGCUGAGGCUCGAAAGCGUGGGUAGCAAACAGGAUUAGAUACCCCAGUAGUCCCUGUCUCUUAUAC